This 400-nucleotide ribosomal RNA is filed under the name uncultured Glomeromycotina. RNAcentral's name for it is "SSU rRNA". It matches the Rfam family "Eukaryotic small subunit ribosomal RNA", at positions 694 to 1092 of the family's 1831-position model. The record is from RNAcentral. Lineage: Eukaryota; Fungi; Glomeromycota.
UCCUCCUUUCUGAAGAACUGUAAUGCCAUUAAUUUGGUGUUGCAGGGAAACAGGACUGUUACUUUGAAAAAAUUAGAGUGUUUAAAGCAGGCUAACGCUUGAAUACAUUAGCAUGGAAUAAUGAAAUAGGACGUUUGAUCCUAUUUUGUCGGUUUCUAGGAUUGACGUAAUGAUUAAUAGGGAUAGUUGGGGGCAUUAGUAUUCAAUUGUCAGAGGUGAAAUUCUUGGAUUUAUUGAAGACUAACUACUGCGAAAGCAUUUGCCAAGGAUGUUUUCAUUAAUCAAGAACGAAAGUUAGGGGAUCGAAGACGAUCAGAUACCGUCGUAGUCUUAACCAUAAACUAUGCCGACUAGGGAUCGGAUGAUGUUAAUUUUUUAAUGACUCAUUCGGCGCCUUACG